CUGUUAUUCUACUCGCCCACGCCGUUGUUGUCAUCCUUUGCUAGGAAACUGUGGGGGAGAUGGCCGGUGCCACCAGCAGGGUUUCACUUCCAGUACUGUGGAGUGACAGGAGGCUGGAGAAUGCAACAGGACACACUGAAGGGCAUACUGCAAAAAAAGAAAAAGAAUUGACAUCUCUGUGGGGAACUUGAGGAGGAAAUUACUUCAUACAUCCAAUAAACAUGAUCUUGGGACCAGCUGGUUAACUGAAACAACUGGUUUAACGGAAAAGAAAGCACAAUUUAGUUUUGAGAAAUGGUUUAAAUCUUUUGUUUUCCUGAUGCCAAUUUGUUGGAUAUUUUGAAUCUAAUGCAAUGACAUACAGACAUUUUUAAAGGCAUAAGUGUUUGAAUACAUUUUGGAGCAGCUAUAUUCUCUAAAAACAAAUGUUAAAUUCAGUUCAUUCAAUUCAGUUCUGUAUUGUAUAAAAUAAGUAUAUUUUACACAAUACUUUUAUUAUACAAUAAAAUACAUAUAUUUCACA
Molecule: long non-coding RNA, 523 nt
Organism: Ctenopharyngodon idella (grass carp)
Lineage: Eukaryota; Metazoa; Chordata; Actinopteri; Cypriniformes; Xenocyprididae
Exons: 2
Source: RefSeq, a predicted model, not a curated record